AAACUUUUAAUCCUCUUCUCCCUUAAAAAGUCAGCCUCUGCAACAUUAGUAUUUCUCUCGCUGCCAAAAACAUCUUCCCCUCUCUCUCUAUCUCAGUUUCCUUUUCGAAAUUUAUACAUAGCCUGAUUUUCGUUUCCCAUUUCCGUUGUUUCUAAACGGCUUCUUCCCCUCUUAAAUAUUUAUCCAUUUCCUUUUACUCCAAGCUUUCCAUUUUUAUAUUAUUUUGAGUUACGUUUUGCUCAAAUAGCAGUUAACACUUUGCUUCUUUUAAUUAUGUUGGCAAGAAUUCAAGGUUAAUCAUAGCCCCACAAAGGUAGAGUUAAGGUUUACGUACAUCCUAUCUUCCCCAGACGCACUUGUGAGAUUACACUAGCCGAGGGUUUUUCGGAAACAGCCUCCUUACCUUCCAAGGUGGGGAUAAGGUCUGCGUACACUUUACCCUCCCCAGACCCCACAUUGUGGGAUUCAACUGGGUAUGUUGUUGUU
Molecule: long non-coding RNA, 486 nt
Organism: Lycium ferocissimum
Lineage: Eukaryota; Viridiplantae; Streptophyta; Magnoliopsida; Solanales; Solanaceae
Exons: 3
Source: RefSeq, a predicted model, not a curated record